CAAAGUUUCUCCUUUGUAUAAUACGAAACUUUAAUUGGCAGGAAAAAAUCAAAACAAAUAAUACGAUUCGACGCAAUUCGAAAACAGACUCCGCUCCUCGAUGCUUUCUUCUUCAGUUUCCUCCUUGACGCUCGCGAUGAACGGUCUCUCGCCGCGAAAAUGGCCCGUAUCUCUCCAAUUUUCGCGUUAAUCCUGGGCGUCGUUUUCUCGAGAGACGUUUCCCCGUGUUCAUCUUCUCGUCGUUUCUUUGUUUCGUAUCGUCCAUUAACCGCGACUCGAGGCUCGUGCCGCGUCGACCGCACCAGGAAACGAAGACGAGUUACGCCAUUACAGUUUCGAGAUUACAGUGCGUACGAACCCUUUCGCUAAUAAGAGCAACGCGAAACUGGCGAGGCGAGGGGAGGAAGGGUGAAGGGAGGACCGGAGAGAAUUAUAAAAUCCGAGCAAACAACCACAAAAACCGCAGCGUUGCGCCGCUCUAGGUUCAAGUAGCAAGUUCAGUGGCCUUGAUAGGCGUUUGUUGCCUCAAACGCGCCUCUCCGCAACUCCAGUUAAUGCGAGAUCUUUAUGGACGACUAUCCUUACACGGCAACUACAUCGAUGGAUAUAUCAUAGUCAUCGUUGAUGCACAACGAGCGUUUAAUAUUAGAUGACUUAGAUAAUCGUACAGAAUUUAACGCUGAGUAACUAUAAUCAUCAUUGGCAUGCAGCAAGCACUCAACGCUGAAAGAAUUAACGAACGCUCUGUAUCCUCGAAUGGAAGAGGAAUAGAAAUAUGUAAUAAAAAAUAUAUCUUUUUCGAGGAUUGACAAAGAGUAGAUAUCAAUUGGUCGAAGAUCCUCGACCAUAGCUCAGGGAAAUUUAUUGGCGCAAGUACACUUCGGGGAAGUCGAUGAAAAUGAAAUCUCUCGAAGUACGAAGAAGAAGUAUCGUACCGGAGGAUAGUCGAAAGGUGGUAUGGAAGACACGUCGCUGAAAGGAGGCUAAGCGCCAUCGGCCGCGAAUUUGUUGUCGAUCGGUCUUGCGAUCGAGAAAAAAGCCGCUAGAUCGGUUCUCGCCAAGUCUUGUGACACGCACACGCGCCUCUCGGCCUUAAUACCGUCGACGUUUUAUUCGAUGCGUCCUCUGACGAAAUCGACCACAUAGCAUUCUUCGUUUUCUUCUCGACGUUCCAUCUCUUCGUUAUUUAUCGUGAAAAACCGAGUCCGGUCUCGUUUCUCACGUUCAAGAUAAUUCCAUGGAUUGCCCCUGUUUUACAAUUGGAACGACCUAUUCCACCAUAUAUUCUAAGUUCGUGUGCGUCCACUGACGUGAAUAGAAUCGGUCGUAAAUCGAAACAUUGUAUACAGUGAGACUGAAAUUGUAUUUUAAAUCAAGAAUAAACAUUAUUUAAAUGCCUAAAAA
Molecule: long non-coding RNA, 1404 nt
Organism: Apis cerana (Asiatic honeybee)
Lineage: Eukaryota; Metazoa; Arthropoda; Insecta; Hymenoptera; Apidae
Source: RefSeq, a predicted model, not a curated record